This 1859-nucleotide long non-coding RNA is filed under the name Equus asinus (donkey). Its description in RNAcentral is "lncRNA (ENSEASG00005030531.1)". The record is from RNAcentral. Lineage: Eukaryota; Metazoa; Chordata; Mammalia; Perissodactyla; Equidae.
GUAAAGGAACUUUUGUAAAUAGGCCUUUAGUAACGUGGUGGUGAGGUGUGGAGUGAGAGGAAGUGUUCUAUAGUCCUCAGAUUAGAGCUCAGUCAUUUGGUGAGCCUGUCUCUGGACUGUGAACUUUAUAAGAGUUUCUCAGUUUUUUUUCCUCUUAGAUGAGACAGGAUGGCUGGAGUGCGCUGGAGUUGGAUAGUUUCCUUCUCCCAGGUGGAAGACAAGAGCAGGCCAGAAUUGGGUAUUUCCCUUCCCCCAGGUCACUUCGGCUCUGAUAAUAUCCCAGCAGGUUAGGAUCUGGUUAACUAGUUUCCACUGAGGCAGGCCUUGUUAAGAAAAGGCAUAGGGGCUGGCCUGAUUGCACAGUGGUUGAGUUUGUGUGCUCUGCUUCAGGUGCCCACAGUUUGCAGGUUCAGAUCCUGGGCACAGACGUAGCACCACUUGUCAAGCCACCCUGUAGUCGCAUCCCACAAAAUAGAGGAAGGUUGGCACAGAUGUUAGGUCAGUGACAAUCUUCCUCGCCUCACACACACGCAAAAAAGAUUACACUGGCAUAUUUCAAAAUGGUUCUUUUUUCCCCUCCCCCUACUGGAAGCACAAAGGAGAUUUUUCUCCAGUAUAUACUGUGGGAAUCUGGUUGAGCUCCUGGAGGUGAAUCUCACAGUAUUGUUGGGUUGGGGAGGUCCCCCUUUGAUUGAGUCCACCUGGGGAGUUUUUAACUCUUAGCGUUGUCCUCAUUGAGCCUCCAACAAUUCAUCAACUUUAGUUCUGGGUUUUCUUCCCGGCGCUGCUUCCUGCAGUGGUAUUGGCUCCUGAUUCUCUGCUCAGGAAGAUUGGCCCUGAGCUAUCAUCCAUGCCCAUCUUCCUCUAUUUUAUAUGUGGGACUCCUGCCGUAGCAUUGUUUGGUAAACAGUGCAUAGGUCCAUACCUGGGAUCCAAACCAGUGAACUUCAGGCCUCCGAAGCAGAGUACAAGAACUUAAUCUCUAUGCCACCAGGCAUAACUGAACCAAUGCAAGCCUUGGCUUACUGAGGCAAAUAUCCCUUACUACAUGGAAGAAGAUAAACAAAAGGAUUUCUUCCUGCAGGCAGCCUGGCUGCCCAAAGAACAUAGUAAGGAAGAAGCUCUAAGUCUUGAAGACUAAGAAUUAUGAGAAUUUGGAGCAACUUCCCUCAAGACAGGAACAUUUCAUGCAAGACAGAGAAGAACAUAGGAUUCAGAAUCUGACCAGAAGUGCAGACCCCUGCCUGUGUCCCAUCUAUUAUCCAAUGCCCCAAGCUUGUGGAUACUGAGACUAUUCUGACAUAGAUCCUGAAUUUUGGAUUUCAUGGAAGAAGGAAGAUGCAUGCUGGAUAUUCUCCAUCUGCUUCUUCAGAUUUAUACUCCACCACUUGCCAUGCAGCUCUGAGCUUGAGGAAGCUGCUUUUAAGACAACGUCAAUGGGCUCUCUUGUCCUCCUGUUCUUUGUUGGGUUCAGUAAAUUGGAUGCUCUGGAAGGAGAUCCAGGGGGCUGGAGCAGAGAGAGGUCAGUGUAUCUCCUCCCACAGUUCCCUCCCUGAGAAGCUGCUGUGAGGGAGUGUUCGUGUUCUUCACCCAAGACCGCAUGCCCUCUUCUGAUUCCAGCCUUAACCCCUCAUUUGGUCCCUUUCACCCCAGGUUAAUAAGUCUUCCAACUGUUGAUGGUGCCAGAGUGUUUCAUUGUUCUUUGUUUCCCCUAACCCUGGCCCCCAACUUAAAUCCCUUUACUAAGCAUUCAGUGUAAGAAAACUGUGGGAAGUGGGAAGAAAGAAUGUGCUGCCCCACUUAAAUAAUAAACCUAGUUACUUAGACUGACAUGCACUGCUCAGAUGCUCCGCUCGGUA